GAACUGAAGAGUUUGAUCAUGGCUCAGAUUGAACGCUGGCGGCAGGCCUAACACAUGCAAGUCGAGCGGAUGACGGGAGCUUGCUCCUUGAUUCAGCGGCGGACGGGUGAGUAAUGCCUAGGAAUCUGCCUGGUAGUGGGGGACAACGUUUCGAAAGGAACGCUAAUACCGCAUACGUCCUACGGGAGAAAGCAGGGGACCUUCGGGCCUUGCGCUAUCAGAUGAGCCUAGGUCGGAUUAGCUAGUUGGUGAGGUAAUGGCUCACCAAGGCGACGAUCCGUAACUGGUCUGAGAGGAUGAUCAGUCACACUGGAACUGAGACACGGUCCAGACUCCUACGGGAGGCAGCAGUGGGGAAUAUUGGACAAUGGGCGAAAGCCUGAUCCAGCCAUGC
Molecule: ribosomal RNA, 394 nt
Filed under: Pseudomonas plecoglossicida
Lineage: Bacteria; Pseudomonadati; Pseudomonadota; Gammaproteobacteria; Pseudomonadales; Pseudomonadaceae
Description: bacterial SSU rRNA
Rfam family: Bacterial small subunit ribosomal RNA
Source: RNAcentral